RNAcentral lists this ribosomal RNA (469 nucleotides) under uncultured bacterium. RNAcentral's name for it is "partial 16S ribosomal RNA". It matches the Rfam family "Bacterial small subunit ribosomal RNA", at positions 28 to 507 of the family's 1533-position model. The record is from RNAcentral.
GAUGAACGCUGGCGGCGUGCCUAAUACAUGCAAGUCGAACGAGGUGCUUUUGUAGCAAUACGAGAGUAUCCUAGUGGCGAACGGGUGAGUAACGCGUUGGUGACCUACCCCAAAGUGUGGAAUAACAGUCCGAAAGGAUUGCUAAUACCGCAUGUGGUUAUCGGGUUUAGAAACUGAUAACUAAAGGAGCAAUUCGCUUUGGGAGGGACCUGCGUCCCAUCAGCUAGUUGGUGAGGUAAUGGCUCACCAAGGCUACGACGGGUAGGGGACCUGAGAGGGUGACCCCCCACAAUGGAACUGAAACACGGUCCAUACACCUACGGGUGGCAGCAGUAGGGAAUAUUGCACAAUGGGCGAAAGCCUGAUGCAGCAACGCCGCGUGCACGAUGAAGGCCUUCGGGUCGUAAAGUGCUUUUCUGGGAGAUGAGAAAGGACAGUAUCCCAGGAAUAAGACUCGGCUAACUACGUG